This 433-nucleotide ribosomal RNA is filed under the name uncultured bacterium. RNAcentral's name for it is "partial 16S ribosomal RNA". It matches the Rfam family "Bacterial small subunit ribosomal RNA", at positions 29 to 507 of the family's 1533-position model. The record is from RNAcentral.
AACGAACGCUGGCGGCAUGCCUAACACAUGCAAGUCGAACGAGACCUUCGGGUCUAGUUGCGCACGGGUGCGUAACGCGUGGGAACCUGCCCUUAGGUUCGGAAUAACUCCCCGACAGGGGUGCUAAUACCGGAUAAUUUCUUCGGACACAAGAUUUAUCGCCUUUGGAUGGGCCCGCGUUGGUUUAGCUAGUUGGCAGGGUAAAAGCCUACCAAGGCGACGAUCCAUAGCUGGUCUGAGAGGAUGCUCAGCCACACUGGGACUGAGACACGGCCCAGACUCCUACGGGAGGCAGCAGUGGGGAAUAUUGGACAAUGGGCGAAAGCCUGAUCCAGCAAGGCCGCGUGAGUGAUGAAGGCCUUAGGGUUGUAAAGCUCUUUUACCCGGGAUGAUAAUGACAGUACCGGGAGAAUAAGCACCGGCUAACUCCGUG